Long non-coding RNA from Bos taurus (domestic cattle), 747 nucleotides. Lineage: Eukaryota; Metazoa; Chordata; Mammalia; Artiodactyla; Bovidae. The record is from Ensembl.
UGGCGGCCGCUUUCAGAGCGUUCCUUUCCUUCGGCGACCUUCAUAAGGGCUGCGACUCAGCCAGCGAAAGCGAAGCGGAGCUCCAGAGACUCGCAGCACUGGCGGCGAUAACCCCGGUGCUUCGGAGAUCUGGGCACGCCUGCUCCUGCUGAAGAUUGAUUCUGCAGGUGUCCGUGAGAUGGCCUGGCGCUGCGGGGGUGCGAGGUGGUUGGCGCUCGGGGUCGACCAGCAUCUCCCCGCGUCCUUCUAUUCGCGGGGCCUUGGAGCAAGCAGGGGAAGAGUCUUCGCACCGGGAUUCCUGUGGCUCGGCGGCCAGGCUCCUGCGUCACCGUUAGGGGCGUUCGUUUCCCAUCCUCGGUACCCAGCUCCAGGCUCUAGAGCUUGGCCAGCACGGCCGAGUCCGUGCUUGGGGGGCUCGUUGGCGGGCCGCCUGGGCCCGGUCUCCAGCCCUGGACGCGUCCUGCUCCCGCUGGACUUGAACGUUACACCCCUUACAGACACUCUCUCUCUCCUGGGCACGAGGCUCCCUGGUUCAGAUCAUCCAUGACCCAUUUCUCUACACUCAAGGAGUUAUCUGGCCACGUUGGCUCCAGCUCUAAUGGAGUGAGUUGAGCAGUGAUGGACCCAGAGGAGAGUGGAGACAACAGGGCAUGAAGGAGAAAUAUAUUUUCAUGUUUGCUUACAAGGAACUCUAGAAGGAUCUGUAAGAAACAAAAUACUACCUGUGGAGGUCAGAUGGCCCUGGAC